GAAAAAUACUUUAUGAAGGUGGAUGAUAUAGUACCUGGCAGCGAGCAGAACAAGUGCAAAUAUGUGGGUUAUAGUGACAUUUUUAUUGUAUUUUUUCAUUCCAUCCAGGACAGCUCCUGUGUGUUCCAAGAGUCCAAAUUGGCUUUGGUCUUGUCCUAGAGUUGUGUAUGUUUAAACUUGAGUAAAGCAUGUCUGGUAUUGGUAGUUCAAAG
This is a non-coding RNA of Pelobates cultripes (western spadefoot toad), 212 nucleotides long. Lineage: Eukaryota; Metazoa; Chordata; Amphibia; Anura; Pelobatidae. The record is from the annotation of a GenBank genome assembly.